GGUGAGUUUGUUGGCCAGGGGAAGAGCGUCCCAACUGACACUGAUCAAAGGGGAGUUAUGCCCCAGGGGAGAGGCAGAGAGGCACCGGCAGCGAGGGGGCCAUGGAGAGCGAGCACGAGACAGUGAGAGCGAUUUAAUCUCAAGCACAAAGGAGAAUGCUGCUUCAUGGUAGCAUGGCUUAUGUUAGCGAGGUGUCCAAGCCGAGAGAGGCUAAGGGGGGCCAGCAGGGGCGAAAGGCCUUAGAGGCAGAUGGCAGAGCAGGGCGACCACGACGCAGGACUCGGGGGUGAGAGCAACAGAGGGCUCGCUUGCAACAUCAAGAAAGAAGACAAGGCGGCGAAGAAUUUCGGCCGACAUCGAAGGUGCUCCCUGAGAGAGGGAUGCCCAAACGCUUAUGUCUUCGGCAAUCAUAGUAUUAUAGGCGAAGAUAUUGGAGAAAAAAAAACGUGGCUUUGGCAACUAAAAUGUUUAAAGAUACAUGUUCAGUUUGAAGAAAUUACAAUAUCAAAACCAAGAGUCGAAAUCUAAGAAUGAAAAAGCAUAAUAAUAUAUAAAAGAAAUAAGGUGUAAAUGAAAAUGCAUUCAAAAUAAUAACGUAAACAAUCACAUUAAAAAAAAGUUUUAAUAUUAAUGAUGUUUGUACAAUGCGGGAAAAUGGAAAUGAAAUGAAAUUACCGAAUGUAAUAAAAGCUAGUUAGAAUAUAUGUAAUAGCAAAAUAAGAAUUAAAUAAACAAAAGCUAACAGUAAGCCUUAUUGUUAGAAUAAAGCAAGUUGGUAUGA
Molecule: non-coding RNA, 781 nt
Organism: Penaeus vannamei (Pacific white shrimp)
Lineage: Eukaryota; Metazoa; Arthropoda; Malacostraca; Decapoda; Penaeidae
Source: RefSeq, a predicted model, not a curated record